AUGGCAGGAGGGCAAAAGGAGUGCCUACGCGAGGUACGAGCAGCAGAAGACACCAAGAGAACAUCCCGGUGGCCGUCCGGAAGAGGGCUAGUGAUGAUGGCGCUGGGAGAAGAGCCGAAAGAUGAGGCAGCGAGCCGGCAAUACGAGACGAAGACAUCAGUGACAUCGUACUCCAACUUGAUGGCCCGCCACCCGCCCUCUUCGUCUUCUCCGGCCUUCCCACGCCAGCCGCCCAAGGAGGCGACCCCAAGAAAUUCAAGGAGCUGGCCCCGCCCCCGGCAAUUUGCUCUGCCGGCGGAAAGACCAGGUGCAUAUGAUGGUGCUGUCGGCGUUGCCCGAGGACGAUAUGUCCGAUGCCUAGUCGGACCCGUCCUGGUCGUCUUCCCCACCGGUGUCCUCCUCGCCACUAUCACUCGAGGAGGAGCUUUCAUCGUCGGUCGAGCUCUCCGCGCAGCACCCUAA
This 462-nucleotide ribosomal RNA is filed under the name Triticum aestivum (bread wheat). Its description in RNAcentral is "partial small subunit ribosomal RNA". Lineage: Eukaryota; Viridiplantae; Streptophyta; Magnoliopsida; Poales; Poaceae. The record is from RNAcentral.